GACGCUGGCGGCAGGCCUAACACAUGCAAGUCGAGCGCGCCUUCGGGUGAGCGGCGGACGGGUUAGUAACGCGUGGGAACGUGCCCUUCUCUACGGAAUAGCCUCUGGAAACGGAGAGUAAUACCGUAUACGCCCUUUGGGGGAAAGAUUUAUCGGAGAAGGAUCGGCCCGCGUUAGAUUAGGUAGUUGGUGGGGUAACGGCCUACCAAGCCUACGAUCUAUAGCUUGGUUUUAGAGGAUGAUCAGCAACACUGGGACUGAGACACGGCCCAGACUCCUACGGGAGGCAGCA
RNAcentral lists this ribosomal RNA (292 nucleotides) under uncultured Alphaproteobacteria bacterium. Its description in RNAcentral is "partial 16S ribosomal RNA". It matches the Rfam family "Bacterial small subunit ribosomal RNA", at positions 32 to 353 of the family's 1533-position model. Lineage: Bacteria; Pseudomonadati; Pseudomonadota; Alphaproteobacteria. The record is from RNAcentral.